RNAcentral lists this unclassified non-coding RNA (3204 nucleotides) under Hevea brasiliensis (rubber tree). Lineage: Eukaryota; Viridiplantae; Streptophyta; Magnoliopsida; Malpighiales; Euphorbiaceae. The record is from RNAcentral.
AAAAAAAAAAACUUUCUAGGAAAUUUACUUGCACGUUUCUAUUUGUGUUUUUUUUUUAAUCCUUAAUGGAUUAGGUAGUCUGUGGUGGUUGUUUCCUUUGUUAAUUUUCCUGGGAAAUGUAUGAUCUGAGCAUUUGAACCCAUUUGAUGAAUUGGGUAUUAUGAGUUUUUUUUUUCUCUCUCCUUUUUAUGUUCGAGUUGUCUUAUUUUGAAGCAGUGUCACUUGCUUGCAUAAAGGAUUGCGAGUGGACCUUUCUCUUUUUAGUUUUUCGCCCUUCAAAAUGAAUGGUAUGAUCAUAUAUAUUUCGUAGGGGUGAAACUUUGCUCUGAAUAGUUGCAAUGUACAAAUUGUUCGUGCGACAUGUAGGAGAUGUCAUAGUUUAUGGUGAUGGAUUGGAGGGUUGUAAUCAAUUGUUACAAUUCCUUUGUAUUAAGGGUUACUACUUACUAGUGAAAUGGCAAAUUCACGAUUUGAAUGUGAGCGUGGGGGGCAUAAUCCAGGCUAACGGAUUCAAGAAUCGUACAAUCUGUAGUAAGUAUGCCAGACACAGUAAUGGCUCAUGCAAUUUUUCGUAGCACCUCCCCGUUAUCUUCUAGUACUUACCCUUUUGCAUAAAAUGUUUGGCCUCUGUAAUAAAAUGCUUACUUGGUCCUUACUUGCCAUUUGGUGUUGUGUUUAGAAUUUUAGUCUCUGCUUCUUCCAUCAUAGCCUAAUUUCAUUUUCCAUCACCUUUAUUUUAGUAGAGAUGCUUCUAGACAUUGCAAAGAAAUUGUUUAGGACCUUACUUUUGCUUCUUGUACUUUAGGUGAGGAGUGGGCUUUGUGUAUGGCCAGGUGCAAGACAGCUUUGCCUUAGAAAAGGCCUCUUGUAUGGAUUCAUGCACUUACUGUAUUUGCCAUUUAAGACCUUGCGUGGAGCUAGUAGAACACUUAGAGUUGCUCAAUUUUGCAGUGUUUCCAAUAUGUCUUCCUCAUUACAAAUUGAAUUGGUGCCAUGUCUUGGGGAUAACUAUGCAUAUCUUUUACAUGAUGUGGAUACUGGCACAGUUGGAGUUGUUGAUCCCACUGAAGCUGUACCAAUUAUAGAUGCUCUAAGUAGGAAAAACCGAAAUUUGACCUAUAUACUGAAUACUCAUCAUCAUCAUGAUCACACUGGUGGGAAUGAAGAGUUGAAAGCAAGGUACGGUGCAAAGGUAUGACAUAGUAUUUACUGGUGAAGAUUCUUUUUCCAUCAAGUCAUAUCCAAGUAGUUGGAUUCCUAUAAGUGAACAUUGACACAUAAAGUUAUAAGCUUUAAAAAUAAAAGCUUGUUUUAGCAAUUUCAAUUUUGCAGAUUGUAUCUAACCAUGAGGAACAUUUUCUUCCUUCUUUUUGUAUCUAACAAUGAGGAACAUUUUCUUCCUUCUGUUUCUACUUAAGAAAGCAACUAUUCCUUAUAAUUAUAAUUUUAAUAAGGAGAUUUAGUCUUUGGUAAAACCGAGAUAGUCGGAGUUAAAAAUGAUAAAAGAGUUAAGUUUUUUGAUUCAUGCAAGAUUUACUCACAAAUUUUUAGUCAUGCGAUCGAAUAUGAUCAUUGGCAAGCAAAUCUUGGCACAUAUUCUCAGUUUGAUUGUAAGUUAGGUUCAUAUGGAAUCUGAGUGUACAACUGUUGCUUGCCCUUCUUUUGGCAUUCCUGUGAAACUCUUUCUUGACAUGAAACUUAGUUUAGUUAAAGAAAUUUGCUAUCUUGAAAUGUUACUAGUUUAUCUGUAGUAGAUAUGCCAGACAUGAACUGCAAGCAAUUGAAUAAAUAAAAUUCCUAUUGGUUAUGCUUCCCGUUGCCAUUUGUAAUAAUGUUUAAAGACACUCCUUUUUAAAGCCCUUGAAGCACGAGUCCACAAAGAAGCCAAGAAGCCACCUUAUCCCAGAGCAGAUUAAAGUAUGAAGAGUGAACCUUGAAACUGCGUGCAUUCCUCUCCAGCCAAAAUUCCAAGUUCUCCAUAAAACAGAGGGAAAAAAAAAUGCAACUCCAAAGAACUCUGCCAUCUUGUUUAAUAUCAAAUCCUUUUCAUUCUCAAAACCAAUUGCUGAACCUCAUAAAAAAUACCAAAUAGGUGUUUCAGAUUGCCCAAAUGGUUAUGGACUUAUGGUUACUUUGUUAACAAAUAUUUUUAAUUAUUUUAAUCAUUUUGUUAGUAACAUUUUGGGAAAUGGAAGAUGUCUUAUAUCGGUAAUGUUGGUCUUGUCAAGUUGUCUAUCACUUUCAUGGCCAUUCUGCAAUGUUUUACCUACUUUCAUACUUUUAUUUUUUUGUUAUGUGUGAAUGAUGAACAUAGAGGCUUAUUUUGUGUUCCUCUUUUUGUUUUUAAUUGCAUAUAUUGAGUGUUAGGUUUUGACUUAAAGGCAAAAGAGUUAUAAAGCUGUCAAUAAAGUUCUUGGUUUCUGUGAAGUGUUUCAAUUUUGAAAGCUCAUUCAAUUUUAUGGAGUUAUUAUAUUUCCAUUUCUUGCUUAUAGGUGAUUGGUCCAGGAAUAGACAGAGACAGAAUUCCUGGCAUUGAUAUAGUUCUGAAUGAUGGUGAUAAAUGGAUGUUUGCAGGACACAAGGUGGUUGUAAUGGAAACUCCUGGUCAUACCCGAGGUUGUGUUUUGUUGUUUGUAUAACUUAUAAAAACCAUAUAGGUGUUAAAAAAUUAAUGAAAUUGGAUACCAUGUUUGUGAAGCUGGCUUCUAUAUUGUUACAUCAUUAAGUUUCUUUUAUGUUGUCAUUGGUACCAUGUGAUUAGUUUUUGUAAGGAGUGGCAAAUAGUUUAGUUUUAAGUUUUAACUACCAUUUCAUAGAGUUAUACUAUAUUUGUUAGUGUAGCUUGGAAUAAUUUGAGUUACUUGAAAUGUAAUGAUAUUGUUUUGGCUAAAGAAUACAGGAUUGAUUUUCCCUAACACAUCUGUACUCAGUAGAUCAAAAUUAUUUCUAUGUAGAUUGUAUGUGUGGUCUAUGUUUAUACCGUUUUUAGUCUAUAUAAGCAAGUAUGCACAGACACAUUUUUCUUUUUCAUUUUAUAUUCUAAUGUUCUGCUUUGACCUUAUUGUAGGCCACAUUAGUUUCUACUUUCCUGGAUCAGGGGCAAUUUUUACAGGAGACACUUUGUUUAGCUUAUCAUGUGGCAAGCUUUUGGAAGGAACACCUGAGCAGGUAGUUGGUGCUGCCAAUCCAGGAAUUCAUCUUUCC